UUCUCUCCUCUCUCUCUCUCUCUCUCUUAAAUAUAGAAACAACAUUUUUAUUUGAAAAAAACAAUUCCUUUUAUUCCUUAAAUUUGGCCCACAAAAACUUUUCUCUCUCUCCUAUAUUCUCAGUUCUCACGUAUGCAUUCAAUACAUAUCACCAAACUUAAGGUUUUCUCCUCCACCAAACACCCGCCCCUCCCUCAUUCAUUACUUCUCACCAAACACCUGCCGCUGCACUAUGAUGGAUUCGCCCAUCCGCCGGCGUCUUCCCUACUGAGAGAGAGCGAGAGUCGCCGCGCGCCCAGCCUGGUUCCACCGCCGACGUCGCCUGUGAUAGAGGUUGAGCGUGCAGCCUUAUUCCACCGCCUGAAACCCUAAGCACGUCGCUGCCGCCUCGCUCGUCUGCCAUCGGGGUUUCACGCCGUCGCCUGAAGCCCUAAGCACGUCUUCCACAGCUUGACGCCGCCUCGCUCGUCUUCCACAAGAGUUUCACGCUUUAGUCAAGAAGAUGAGUGACACCCAAUCCGAUCCUCAAUACGAAGAGGAGGUGGAAGAGACGUCCCGCGUCCGAAGAGAGUUUGGAGGAAGAGGAGGUCGAAGUGCAGCCGGAGAGGCGGAGGGGAAGACGACGAGGCCCACGAAAUGUCGCCCGCGAUGAGUAUGAAGAACCACCACCCCCAGUUAGAUUUAUUGCUGAAUAUUUUUUUUAUAUUUUUAUAAGAAAUAUUAUUAGAUUUAUUUCAUGAAAUUUGUUGAUAAAGAGAUUGCUCCACUAGUUAUUAUUGUUUCCUUAUUCACGGUCCAUUCUAACAUGGUGAAUCUAUUGACCAAAUCAUUCACCUAUGACUUAUAUAAUGAUUAAUACAUUAAUGUAAUUAAAUCAAUACUCGAUCUAUGAUAUUGCUCCUAUGAAUGUGCUAAUAUAUGUGUUUUGGACUGUUUUUAGCCAAUGUUGUGUUUGUGUGUUGGAGCUUUUGUUGGCGGUUGGAUGUUGGAUGAAAUUGUGAUUAAAUUAUGUAAUCGUGUACUACUUGUGUACUAAGGAACCAAAUUUUGUGUACAAUUUCGUGCACUUGAUAAUUAUGGAUGAUGUCAGGUUUCGUGUAAGUCUUUGUGUUCUAAUUUACAGAGUUCGUGUACUAUUCGUGUACUGAAGAAAUAGGUUUCGUGUAUGCCGUCGUGCACUUGAUAUCAAUGAAUAUUAACAGCUUUCGUGUACUGUUUCGUGUUUAUGUUUAUAGGUUUCGUGUAUUAUGUCGUGUAUUGAAGAACAUGUUCAUGUAUGCACGAGAUAUUGUGCACGACUAUGAUCUUUUGGACACGACACUAGACACGAAAUCAAAUAACAUACUUUUAAAUGAUUUGGUAUCGAUAUGGAUGUUAACAUUUUCAUUUUCAUUGAGAAUUAUGCUUCAAAUCUCAAAAUAAACUUACUUAACACGGUUUUAUCGAAUUCACUAUUAAAUUAUUGAAACGUGAAACUUACAACUUUGUAAAAAACACUCAUAUAAAUAUUAGUGAAGUAACUUAAGAUCUAUAAAGAUAAUAAGUCAUAUUGUUGUUUUAAAGACAUUCUCAGUAAAGAUUAUAAAAACUACUCAAUUGGCUCAUUGCACUAAUUUAUAAUGAUCGAUCAAUUCAAAAAUAGAUCUGAAAUCAAUCAUCAUAUACGGUGCACGAGAUUAGGGUACACGAAUCCUUAGGGUACACGAAACACAACACGAACCACUGCACUACACGAAGGUUUCGUGUACCCUAAUCUCGUGCACCGUAUAGGAUAAUUGAUUUUAGAUCGUUUUUGAAUUGAUCGAUCAUUAUAAAUUAGUGCAACGAGCCCACUGAGUAGUUUUUAUAAUCUUUACUGAGAAUGUCUUUAAAACAACAAUAUGACUUAUUAUCCAUAUAGAUCUUAAGUUACUUCAUUAAUAUUUAUAUGAGUGUUUUUUACAAAGUUGUAAGUUUAACGUUUCAAUAAUUCAAUAGUGAAUUCAAUAAAACCGUGUUAAGUAAGUUUAUUUUGCGAUUUGAAGCAUAAUUCUCAAUGAAAAUGAAAAUGUUAACAUCCAUAUCGAUGCCAAAUCAUUUAAAAGUAUGUUAUUUGAUUUCGUGUCUAGUGUCGUGUCCAAAAGAUCAUAGUCGUGUACAAUAUCUCGUGCAUACACGAUCAUGUUCUUCAAUACACGACAUAAUACACGAAACCUAUAAACAUAAACACGAAACAGUACACGAAAGCUGUUAUUAUUUAUUGAUAUCAAGUGCAAGAAGGCAUACACGAAUAGUACACGAAAUUUGUUAAUUAGAACACAAAGACGUACACGAAACCUGGCAUCAUCCAUAGUUAUCAAGUGCACGAAAUUGUACACAAAACCUGGUUCCUCAGUACACAAGUAGUACACGAUUUGGGAGAGGGAGAGAGAGAAGCGCCGGAGAAAAAGAGAGGACCGAGAGAAGGGUUCUCGGCGAAGAUGUCGUCCGAAUCCAAGGUGGUGAUGGAUCAUUGCGAUGGGAGGUUGAAGAGGGUCCCAUCACGGGGCAGUAGCGGCGGUGGGGCGUGGGCUUCUCCUUCGUCCCUGCCCGCGGAGCUCUUCUGUGGAAGCGGCGGAGUCGUUCGACUGUCUGCCGGCGAGCGCUUCUGUGGAAGAGGGUCUCCACCGAUUCAUGCAGACUGUCUCUGCAAAGUUGUUGUGUUUGAAGAAAAAGAUACCAUCUUUUUUAUGGGUUUUUCUUGAAAGUUGAAAUACUUGUUUGUGCGCGCGUGUGUGAUUAAUAAAACUCUUUUCCAGCAUAUAUUAUCUUUCUAUGCAGAAUAAUUCGGGAAAAAAAAAGUUACAGAAAAAAUUAAAAAAAAAAAUAUAACUUGGGGCAGCAUAUGGAGCUUUCAUGAAUCUUUUCCUUUUCUUCUCUUUUAGAGCUUCUUCUCACGGGAAAAUACUACUUUCUUUAACACUUUAUUUUCUUUCUUUUCUUUUUCUGGGGUUUCUACGGGAACAAGUAGAGAAUGAAGUGAACUACUCCUUCGACUCUAAUUACAGCUUGGGUAGGUGCAGCCGUGGAAACAAGAAAGGGGGAGAGAGAGAGAGAGAGAGAGAGGGAGAGGGGGACUCUUUUUUCUUUAAAGAAAAUUCCUUUUUUGCUGUUUUCUCCAU
Molecule: long non-coding RNA, 3140 nt
Organism: Salvia miltiorrhiza (redroot sage)
Lineage: Eukaryota; Viridiplantae; Streptophyta; Magnoliopsida; Lamiales; Lamiaceae
Exons: 2
Source: RefSeq, a predicted model, not a curated record